RNAcentral lists this long non-coding RNA (4043 nucleotides) under Homo sapiens (human). Its description in RNAcentral is "non-protein coding PURPL:52". Lineage: Eukaryota; Metazoa; Chordata; Mammalia; Primates; Hominidae. The record is from RNAcentral.
CCCAUCCCCUAGACCCCCUGUUAACAUGGAUGAAAGCCACUUUGACACCCAUGGGUGGCACCCUGUCACAGUUGGUGGGACUCAGCAAUACAGGGACAGAGGAAAGAAAGAGGAACAACUCACUUUCUCUCCCUCACACACCCUGAGUAUUUGCUAGAAAAAGAAAGGAACCAGGCACACAUGCUCCCCUAUUUCUAGAUGAGUAGCCAUUCAUCUUUAGUCUGCACCCUUUUAGAACAUGUCCUGAACCCCUGGGACUCUUCUGAAAAAAAUGCCUUCUUUUUUCCUUUUUCUUCCUCUGUCCUCUAUUCACUGGUAGGUAGGUAAUGGUGUCCCAUACCACAGAACACUUCCCUCAGAUGCAUCCUUCUAACUGGGAGGAGUUAAUUUCUCAAACCGUAGACUAAUUGGCUUAGGAUUAGGUUCAGGGGAAGGGAACACAGAAACAUGACAUGCCAGCAAAAGGGUAAAAGGUUUUUUUUCCCCGUUGGGCUUUUGGCCUCUCUCUCCCUGUGCAAACUGGUAAAAGGCGUCUGGAUUUUCUAGUUGUCCUUACCCACUGCUUGUUUCGUUUUGAUACAUAUUUUCUAAUAACCUGUUUGUCUCUUCUCACUUUUAGGCCAUCAAACUCCAGUCUGCACCUGGAGCCUUGGAUGAUGGCCUUUUUUACUGGGAACCCUGAAAUAGGCCUCUGAGGGAAAUCUGAUUGCCAUUUUCCCAAAACAGCUUCCCUGACAAUAGGAAGCAAUUAAGAUUGGUCUUCAUCCUUAUCUUUAUCCUUAUUCUAAUGGCAGUUAGAGGUACUUCUUUAGAGGGGGGAAUGAGACAGCCAAAUGCCUAGGCAGAUAAAAAGGUGUACCUGGAAAAUUUCCAACCCGUCACACAAGUGUUUACAUCAGAUGCUUUUGUGUAGAUGAGGGAAACUUCCCAGGGCUUGUCUGGGUAUGCCCACAGUGGACUGGAGCCCAAAAUGCACACUGGAGGAAGUGGAUGGAGCCACGUGGAUGUCAUGCCUUAUGCAGGGGAGGAGCCUGCUCUCUUCAGCUCCUGUGGUAAUGUGGGAAUCGAUCUGUGAGGAAACACUUUCUGAAAAUGUCAGAACUCUUGAAAACAUGGAUGAGGAAAAGCAUAAGUACUGCUUUAUGCUUUUCUUAUGAAUUUUAAAAGAUGUAAUUUAAAGGUACUUUAAAGUGAUAUUUGUGCCCUUGUAACUGAUUCAAAGUAGACUGCUAAGGACAAUAAGUAAUAAGAGUCUACAAAUAUCAGUAAAUUAUGAGAAAAAACGGUCUAAUGGUACUUAAAAUUGCAUUGUGAUUUAUUAAAUAACAUUGAACAGCUCCACCUGUAACAUUAAGAUUCCAUUUGAGCAUAUAGAAAAUAUAUUUAUCGCAACCUGAAGUGAUUUGGAAAGUAUGCUGGGAAGAAAAUAUAUUUACAAAUUAGUCUCAGAGGGUAGGUAUCCUGUAGCCAGAUGGAAUAAGAAGAGAGGGAAGGGAGAUUUUGUUCAAAGGGGGAGCAUAAGCUAAGGAAUAAAGCCACAAACAAUGAUUAAAUUAGGUAAAGUGCAAUUAGCUGAAUAUUGCAUAAGCAUACAUAUGGGAAGAAGUGGAAAAAGGAGUGACAAUAUGAAGCUAAAGGGUUUGAAGUGUUCAAGAUAAUACUAGGCUUCCUAGCCUAUUCCGAGACAUCUUGUUUUAGAGUGCAAUAGAUAAGAACUCUAAGGAUGAAAGUAGGAGACAUGCAUUCUAGUCUACGUUUUGGUUAAUGGACUGAAAGUGAAAGAUGGACUGAAAUUGGGGGAUGGAAUAAAAAUGUGAUAGAAUAGAAAAUAGAAAAAGCAAUUAGCCUAAUGUCAUUGAUACUUAGAGAAAAUAUGGAAAAUAGUAAAUUAGUGAUAUAUAUCUUUUCUAAUUCACCAGGGUGAGUGAACAAAGGAAAUCGGAUUUAAAAGUAUUCAUGACAUAGAUGCAAUAAGGUUUCUCAGUCAGACAUAGCAAAUUGAGGGAAGGGAAGAUUUAGAGGAUUGGAAAAUGUCUUGCUUGUAGACUAAUAGGAUAUCAAUAAGCCAUAUGAGCAAUAAUUUGAAAUAGUUUUUGUAAAGUAUCAUGAAGGUAAACCCUGUUUAGAACAAAUUAGAUUUGAAGUACUUGUGACAAAUGCAAUUGACAAUGCCUUUAUGCAGCUGGAAAAUUGUUGCUUAGCAGAAAAGCUUGUGCUGGACAAAUAGAUGUCCAAAUUGAAUAGAUGUUUUCUUAAGCUGAACUAAUUGAGACAAAUAUCCUUAUUAAAUCAAAAAAUUAAAAAUUGAAAUAACUUACCUAUGAUAGGGUAAAUAAUGUUAUUAAUAUACACAAGAAAUAUGUGAUGUAUAUGUGUAUGUACAUAUGUAUACAUAGUAAUAAUACAUAGUGCUAUUUUUAAAUGAUAUUUUACAUAGUGCUUUUUUAAAUGAUUUUUCAAUCAUCGUUGUUGGUCUGUGUUAUUUUAAUCAUCAAAGCUGAUUGAUUUCUGUUUUUGUGUUUUUUUUUGUUUUUUUUGAGGUGGAGUCUCACUCUGUCACCCAUGGUGGAGUACAGUAGUGCGGUCUUAGCUCACUACAAACUCCACUUCCCUGAUUCAAGUAAUUCUUGUGCCUCAGCCUCUCGAGUAGCUUGGAUUGCAGGCAUGCACCACCACGAGCUGCUAAAUUUUUUGUAUUUUUUGUAGAGGGGUUUUGCCAUGUUGGCCAAGCUGGUCUCAAACUCCUGACCUCAAGUGAUCCGCCCUGGCUUCCCAAGCCCAGCUGAUUCCUGUUUAAAUAAAAACUUACAAAGAUCUUCCCACAAGUACUUUAUCUUACAAUUUACUGAACAAUAGAGGCAGUGAAGAUGUUUUUCAGAAAGCAAUUGUGAUCCUGACAUUUUCUUCUUAUAAUCCUGUGCUUUCCUCAUUUUUUUAUAUUAAAAGUAAUAGUUCUUGUGAUGGCAACUAGGAUUUGUAACAACAUGUACCCUCAUUUCCUGCAUGACCUUUUUUAUGUCACUUCUUCACAUGCAAAGUAUACUCCCUCAGUGUCAUUACAUUAUUUGAUUUUUGCCCUUUCCCUCACCUUUCCAUGUGUUUAUUUGCCUAUGCCCAUCUCCUAGUCACAUUUUAUCUAGUUAACGCCAACUUGACUUUCAAUGCUGUUCAAGAUUUACCUCAAUCUCAAGUGUUUUCUCUUUAUAUUCCAUACACGCUUAGCUUGGCUGCCAAUCCUCUUGGCUGCCAAAGAAUCCCAAAUUAUCUCUUUCAAAAAUACAAGAAAUAAAGGAUGGAGGAUAGGAAGGAGGGUGGUCAGGAAAGAACAAAGAAAGGAGGGGAGAGGAAAAAAAGAGAGAAAGAAAGAGAAUUAAAGUUAAGGAGGAAGAAUUUCACACUGAAUUAAAAUUGAUAAUAUUCAGGAAUGAUUUUAUAGUAGGCAUACAUUGAUAAAUAUUAGUUAAAUUAAUGAAUUAUUCCAAAAGAUCAUGAUUUGUAAAAAUUACCCUGAAGCACUUUAGGAAUAUUACAUUGAAAUAGGUAUGCAAUUUCUAAAGAAACUGGACUGCAAAAAUAGCCAUUGUGUGUACCUGUGGACCAGAAUAUUAUAUUUUGCUUAAGUUUGAAGUGUUAAAGUGCCCAACGUGCUCUUAUUUUAACCUAGCAAAUUUUCAGCAGAACUUAAGCUCAUAUAGUAUUUGAUUUUUUCAUUUCUCACAACUGUUGGAAUUCUGUUUUAUUGAAAAUUAUACAAUAAAAUGUUAAAAAAUCUUUGUUCCUGCAGUUAUGCAAUCUUAUGCCAAAGUCAAUAAAUUAUUAAAUUAAAAUCAAACCCACUAAGCCUAACAAUUUGAGAAAAUGAUUAUUAAAACAUAUACCAUUUAGAAGGGCAAUGCCUUUUUAAUAUUAUAGUGAAGACAACCCUAUCAAUUAUUUAAUACACCAAGAAUACAAGGAUAUAAAAUCUUUUUCUCUCAUAUAUCACAUUAUCUGAUGUAUUUAGCUGUGAUGACAUUCCAGAAAACAUCACUUUUUAAAAUUUC